AUGCAAAUGAUGAACUCUACUCGGAUUCCCCUUCAGGACUUCAUGGAUGAUGCUAAAUCGAGUAUCUGAUGCA
Molecule: non-coding RNA, 73 nt
Organism: Gossypium arboreum
Lineage: Eukaryota; Viridiplantae; Streptophyta; Magnoliopsida; Malvales; Malvaceae
Source: Rfam